This is a long non-coding RNA of Hemicordylus capensis (graceful crag lizard), 2264 nucleotides long. RefSeq lists it as uncharacterized. The transcript has 7 exons. Lineage: Eukaryota; Metazoa; Chordata; Lepidosauria; Squamata; Cordylidae. The record is from RefSeq and is a predicted model, not a curated record.
UCUAAACAAUCUAAACAACAAAACGUAAAAGGCACUGACUGGAUAGAAUACAACAUGCCCCUCUUGAAUUCCUGAACUAAAGGCAAAGGCUCAACAGAUCUGCCAGAUUUGGUUUGGUUUGUAAAAGCGGCAACCUUACCGAGUCCCACUCCCCUCUUGCUGUUAUUACUACUUUGUACAGCCGGAGAAAAGCUCAGCAGCGAGACCUCGUCGACCAGUGCAUCCUCCAAUGUCUCUCCCGUAUUCUCGGCGAAUGUCCAGCUGCAGCCAAGAGGCGGCACAGAGCAACUAACAGCAGGGUAGCCCUCAAGGCAAAAGCACCUGGCUCCUCCUCCCCAGGGCGGGCGCGGCUCUAAUAGCACCGUAGCCAACCUUCGCUUUCACAGCUCCCUGGGGAAAUUUGUCCCUCUUCGCACGAGGUGCUCCAAACGCAAACUUCCCUGCUGAAGGAGGAGUGCUGCGUCCGCGCGCCUGUUGCUUCAGAGAGGUAUUGCUGCUGCAGCUGCCACAAGCCUCCUGUUUCCUUCUCACCUGUUUCCUUUCCCGCUCACAAUAUAUAGGGGGCUUUUCCCGCCAGCGGCGCGGGCAGAAGCGGUUUCUCUUCCUGACAUGCACCAACCACUUUCUUACACGAGACAUUUCCCAUACAACCAGUUUUCUAGCCGUGGCUAGUCCUUGCACACUUAAGGGUCGGUUGCAGUUACCGAAGCUCUCAAUGCCAAGAGCACCAAACAACAACCCUAUACGCGCUUUGGCAAAGGCAGGUUUGCUCGGAAUAGCCUGUUGGUUCUCAUUGCCCGCUUUCUAGUCCUCUAUUCUUAUUACAGUUUCUUCAAUAUCCUGUCUGACUACAGCUUCUUCAUAAAGUCUUCUUGUCUUUCAUCUGGUCCUCUUCUCUCCAGCCUGCACCAGCUACCUCCAGAGCUUUUUCUCUCACCCCUUACUUGCAACUAAAGGCCCACUGCUCCCAGGCUCAGUUACGUGGCAAUGGACAGUCUUGACAAAUGCAAAGAAAAGCCCAAAAUACGGAAGGAAGGUGACAAAAAUAGUACUGACAAACAAGGAAGAAGUAUGCUGCCAAAGACAAAAUUACAUAGCCCAUGAUGUUCUCACAUGAUCCUGAAUGGCUCACAUCUAUUCCCCUAAACACUCAAAGAAGAAAAGACGUAAACUUUCCUACUUGUUUCUCAGCUUAUGCAGUUUGUUCCUUCACCAAUGCUUUCACCUCAUCUGGCAGCACUCAUAACUGUGUGCAUAGAUGUCUAUGGAUCAUUAGCAGUAGCAUAUUCAGUAGCAAUGUGCAAAGCGUGUUCCAAAAUCUUUUCAUUUGAACUGAGAAGGAACUUAACAGUCACCUAUAAGAGAGGGAAUACAACUGAUAGAAACUGACCCAGAGGGAGGGGAAUGCUGAGCCGUUCCAUCAUCUGUAUUGCCAUAUCAACGCUGAAUUUCUUCAGGCCAGUUCAAAGCAACAAUUUUCUUUCAUGGGAGUGUAUCUGCAACCCUAGCCUUGAGAAUUUAGCAACUACAGAGCAGACUGAGCAGACACACAGGUCACCUGGUCAUAGACUUCCCCAUUGUGGAAACACCUGUAUCAGUCAGCAGCGAUAUAGGAAGAUGCUGAAAGGCAAACCUCUCCUGUAUUCUUCCAAAGACAACCACAGGGCUCAGUGGUCGGUCGCCAGGAGUCACCACCGACUCGACAGCACUUUACCUUUACCUCUUUUGUAUCAUAUACAGUGUUACAUUAUUAUUCACAAUAUAAUUCGCUUCACAAAUAUUAUUGUGCAAUAAACACAAUAAAUAAUUAGAAAUAGCUAUUUUUAAUGCCCCUUGGUAUAUGUUUGACUCCUGUCAGCCCAGGGGAGUAUUUAUAAUUGGGUAAGGGGAGACAGGUGUGUCGAGGCCUGCUGCCUCCAGCCCCCCACCGGGACAUGUCACAUGAUUCCCCAUUGCCUGUCUGCCCACCCAGCCCCAAGGAGUGUCAGCCAGUCCCCCUUGCCCUGUUUGUCCCCUCUCCUGCUUUUCUUGGCUGGCAAUCUAAGCAGCCUGCAAGCUGCUAGAGCUCCUUCUCUCUCUGCCUCUCAGCUGAUCAGUGGGUGGGCGGGGCUUCCAGAAAGGCCUAUGCAUAGGCCUCGCUGAAGCCUGAAGCUCUCCAGGCAGCAAGCAAGGAAGGAAGGAGGCAGGCAGAGUGGCCAGCACUGGCUGCCCUUACCCACCACAGUUCUCUGCAGACCCUCUGCCCAGCCCAGCCUUUGCCAGUA